GUCUAUGGCCAUUACCACCCUUAUCACACUGGAUCUCAUUUGAUUUUAGAAGCUAAGCAGGGUUAGGCCUGGUGAGUAUUUGAGUGGGAGAUGUGGACU
This 99-nucleotide ribosomal RNA is filed under the name Jaculus jaculus (lesser Egyptian jerboa). Lineage: Eukaryota; Metazoa; Chordata; Mammalia; Rodentia; Dipodidae. The record is from RNAcentral.